ACACUUUCAAACCGAAACACCAUGGAAAAGGAGAGAGCUCAUUCGGCAAGCUAGGGUUCAUUAAUUUGUGUUUUUGGCGUGUUAUCGGGGGCAAAUGUAAAGCCUUCGGGCUUGGCAUUUGGUGCUGAGGCAUGUUACAAAAGGGAUGUUAGACUACGGGC
Molecule: long non-coding RNA, 161 nt
Organism: Gossypium arboreum
Lineage: Eukaryota; Viridiplantae; Streptophyta; Magnoliopsida; Malvales; Malvaceae
Exons: 2
Source: RefSeq, a predicted model, not a curated record